GAUGAACGCUGGCGGCGUGCUUAACACAUGCAAGUCGAACGAUGAAGCCCAGCUUGCUGGGUGGAUUAGUGGCGAACGUGUGAGUAACACGUGAGUAACCUGCCCUUAACUCUGGGAUAAGCCUGGGAAACUGGGUCUAAUACCGGAUAGGAGCGUCCACCGCAUGGUGGGUGUUGGAAAGAUUUAUCGGUUUUGGUUGGACUCGCGGCCUAUCAGCUUGUUGGUGAGGUAUUGGCUCACCAAGGCGACGACGGGUAGCCGGCCUGAGAGGGUGACCGGCCACACUGGGACUGAGACACGGCCCAGACUCCUACGGGAGGCAGCAGUGGGGAAUAUUGCACAAUGGGCGCAAGCCUGAUGCAGCGACGCCGCGUGAGGGAUGACGGCCUUCGGGUUGUAAACCUCUUUCAGUAGGGAAGAAGCGAAAGUGACGGUACCUGCAGAAGAAGCACCGGCUAACUACGUG
RNAcentral lists this ribosomal RNA (466 nucleotides) under uncultured bacterium. RNAcentral's name for it is "partial 16S ribosomal RNA". It matches the Rfam family "Bacterial small subunit ribosomal RNA", at positions 28 to 507 of the family's 1533-position model. The record is from RNAcentral.